GCUCAGCCGGUAAAGUGCUGGCCUUGCAAGCCUGAGGAUCUGAGUUCAAAUCUCAG
Molecule: transfer RNA, 56 nt
Filed under: Rattus norvegicus (Norway rat)
Lineage: Eukaryota; Metazoa; Chordata; Mammalia; Rodentia; Muridae
Rfam family: tRNA
About the family: Transfer RNA (tRNA) molecules are approximately 80 nucleotides in length. Their secondary structure includes four short double-helical elements and three loops (D, anti-codon, and T loops). Further hydrogen bonds mediate the characteristic L-shaped molecular structure. tRNAs have two regions of fundamental functional importance: the anti-codon, which is responsible for specific mRNA codon recognition, and the 3' end, to which the tRNAs corresponding amino acid is attached (by aminoacyl-tRNA synthetases). tRNAs cope with the degeneracy of the genetic code in two manners: having more than one tRNA (with a specific anti-codon) for a particular amino acid; and 'wobble' base-pairing, i.e. permitting non-standard base-pairing at the 3rd anti-codon position.
Source: Rfam by way of RNAcentral